This 274-nucleotide ribosomal RNA is filed under the name uncultured bacterium. Its description in RNAcentral is "partial 16S ribosomal RNA". It matches the Rfam family "Bacterial small subunit ribosomal RNA", at positions 523 to 796 of the family's 1533-position model. The record is from RNAcentral.
AUACGGAGGGUGCGAGCGUUAAUCGGAAUUACUGGGCGUAAAGCGUGCGUAGGCGGUUUGCUAAGUCAGAUGUGAAAGCCCCGGGCUUAACCCGGGAACUGCAUUUGAUACUGGCAGACUAGAGUAUGAUAGAGGGGGGUAGAAUUCCUGGUGUAGCGGUGAAAUGCGUAGAUAUCAGGAGGAAUACCAGUGGCGAAGGCGGCCCCCUGGAUCAAUACUGACGCUGAGGUACGAAAGCGUGGGGAGCGAACAGGAUUAGAAACCCUAGUAGUCC